UGUAUAUAUAUAUGAGCGUUCCGUUGUUUACGACGGGACAUCCAGACGACCCUUCUUCCUUUUCCGACCGACAAAAAGAGUGACUUCAGAGUGACUGUCGGAGCGACUUUAGAAUAGGACAGGUCGGGAACAUGUCGACACUUGCAAUGCUGGUCACCGCGGGGCUGCUUUUGGGCGCGACUGCUUCAAGUUUGCGGAGAUCGACUUGUCCAGCGGAGGUGUGUUCGUUUGCCGUCGAUGUCAAGGGCGCCUCUUGCGAGCUCGUCUCCCGGGGCGACGGCAAGGAGUGCUACUGCUGCGGCGACGACGGCUUGGGGCGGCCCGGAAGGACCGAACGGGCGACGUUCGGAGGGCGACGGAGAUUCGGAGGCUGCGCUCUCCACUGCCGGGGUGGCGCGGUCGAUACGCGCAACUGCCGCUGCAUCAGACGCUUCUGAGCCUCCUCCCCACAACGCGUGCAUAUACGUACUCGUAAAUGUUGGAAGGUUUCGAAGAAUCUACCCAUUUUCGUGUACACGGUUGAAUAAAAAAAAUUGUUUGUGAACUUA
Ixodes scapularis (black-legged tick) is the source of this 548-nucleotide RNA transcript. RefSeq lists it as uncharacterized. Lineage: Eukaryota; Metazoa; Arthropoda; Arachnida; Ixodida; Ixodidae. The record is from RefSeq and is a predicted model, not a curated record. The transcript is spliced from 2 exons.